This 483-nucleotide unclassified non-coding RNA is filed under the name Macrocentrum minus. Its description in RNAcentral is "partial contains external transcribed spacer and 18S ribosomal RNA". Lineage: Eukaryota; Viridiplantae; Streptophyta; Magnoliopsida; Myrtales; Melastomataceae. The record is from RNAcentral.
GGUGAUUAGGAUACGUCUCCCAUGCAGGCUCCGUGUAUCCGGCAUCGAACUGCUUGGGUGUAUCUAUUUCGUUCGUGGCUUCGCCCCGGCGUUUUCAUGGCCGGUUGCGACUACUCGUUGGGUUCCCGUGCUUGAUAUCGAGUUCGGUAGUUGGAUGGAUUGACGCUCCCCGUCAUGGUUUAUUUGUCCCCCGUGCCUCGUGCGGCUACGGGGGAUGUUGUGCGGGCAUAGACGUCUUCCUCUCGAGCCGUUGUCCCCCGUUUGGGAGCCUCCGCUCGUGAUGGCGCGUUGAUGCCACCGGCACCCUCGGGUACGGAGGUUUUUCGGCUGUCGCAUUGGCCUUCGACCCUUGCGACCGUUAAGCUCUCUCUUGCUUAUGAAUGGUAUGACCCUCGUGCUCGCCUAAGAGCUCACGGAGCCUCGUUGUUCGGUGUUCUUCUUGGGGAGAUAUCGAGGCCUACAAAGGAAUGCUACCUGGUUGAU